Molecule: ribosomal RNA, 550 nt
Filed under: Terebra guttata
Lineage: Eukaryota; Metazoa; Mollusca; Gastropoda; Neogastropoda; Terebridae
Description: partial 12S ribosomal RNA
Source: RNAcentral
UACCAAGAAAUCGAGUCAUAUAGAUGUAUGGUGAAAAGACAGUUAGGUGUCAGAAAAGGGGGUUAUUUAAUGUAGUGUAUAGGGGUAAAAUCUGAGUAUAGUUUUUAUAAAUCUAAGAUAGCUUAUUAGGCUGAGUCUGUGAAAUCCUUGAGGGAAACUGGGAUUAGGUACCCUAUUAUUCUUGGAUGUAAAUGAAAGUAAUUUACCGGGGUACUAUGAAUUUGUAGGUUUAAAACCCAAAGGACUUGGCGGUGUUUUAGACCAUUUAGGGGAACCUGUCUCGUAAUCGACAAUCCACGUUGCACCUGACCUUUUUUUGUUUUCAGCUUGUAUACCGUUGUCGUCAGGUAACUUUUUAGAAUAUAAAAGUUGGCUAAAUAAAUAAAGUAGUUUAAUACGUCAAAUCAAGGUGCAGCUAAUGGAAAGGGGAGGAUGGGUUACAGUUAUAUAUUUAUAAUAACGGACAGCUAUGUGUAAGUGUAGGCUGUGAAGGAGGACUUAAAAGUAAAUUGAGAUAUGAGAAUAAUUUGAAUGAGGCUCUGAGACGUGU